CUUACGCUGACCUCUUUUCGUUAAAAAUUAUGUAUGUGUAGUAGUUUUUUGGGUUAGUAACACUAUUAUAUAUUUCAGUAACAAUAUACUUUCUUGUUCUUAUUACAGUCUUAAUGUCACACGUUAUUCCAGGAAGUCGAAUUAUUAAGAAUGUUAAUAUUGUAGUUUCGUAAUUAGAACCAGUUUGAAAUGUUGAUAUUUGUUGAUUCAUGAUGCCAACCCCCAAGGACAUUUACUAUAUCCCACCAGAUUAGUCAAGAGUGAAUCGCGCAUCGAAUUCAGCUUCAACAGUUUUCAAAUAAAAUCUCUUUUGAUCUCUAAA
Long non-coding RNA from Helicoverpa zea (corn earworm), 322 nucleotides. RefSeq lists it as uncharacterized. Lineage: Eukaryota; Metazoa; Arthropoda; Insecta; Lepidoptera; Noctuidae. The transcript has 2 exons. The record is from RefSeq and is a predicted model, not a curated record.